Molecule: ribosomal RNA, 583 nt
Filed under: uncultured bacterium
Lineage: Bacteria
Description: bacterial SSU rRNA
Rfam family: Bacterial small subunit ribosomal RNA
Source: RNAcentral
CAUUGACGCCGCGUGUGUGAAGAAGGCCUGCGGGUUGUAAAGCACUUUUAGUGGGGAGGAAAACCCGACCCAACACGUCGGGAAUUGACUUAACCCAAAGAAAAAGCACCGGCUAACUCUGUGCCAGCAGCCGCGGUAAUACAGAGGGUGCAAGCGUUAAUCGGAAUUACUGGGCGUAAAGCGUGCGUAGACGGUUUAUUAAGUCGGAUGCGAAAUCCCCGGGCUCAACCUGGGAAUUGCAUUCGAGACUGAUCAGCUAGGGUACGGAAGAGGGAAGCGGAAUUUCCGGUGUAGCGGUGAAAUGCGUAGAUAUCGGAAGGAACAUCAGUGGCGAAAGCGGCUUCCUGGUCCAGUACCGACGUUCAGGCACGAAAGCGUGGGGAGCAAACAGGAUUAGAUACCCUGGUAGUCCACGCCCUAAACGAUGUCAACUGGUUGUUGGGAAGGUUCCUUCUCAGUAACGUAGCUAACGCGUGAAGUUGACCGCCUGGGGAGUACGGNCGCAAGGUUGAAACUCAAAUGAAUUGACGGUGACCCGCACAAGCGGUGGAGCAUGUGGUUUAAUCGAAGAUACGCGCAGAAG